AUAUCAAUAAGCGGAGGAAAAGAAACCAACAGGGAUUGCCCUAGUAACGGCGAGUGAAGCGGCAACAGCUCAAAUUUGAAAUCUGGCCUCGGCCCGAGUUGUAAUUUGCAGAGGAUGCUUUUGGUGAAGCGCUUACCGAGUCCCCUGGAACGGGGCGCCACAGAGGGUGAGAGCCCCGUAUGGUUGACGCCGAACCUCUGUAAAGCUCCUUCGACGAGUCGAGUAGUUUGGGAAUGCUGCUCUAAAUGGGAGGUAAAUUUCUUCUAAAGCUAAAUACCGGCCAGAGACCGAUAGCGCACAAGUAGAGUGAUCGAAAGAUGAAAAGCACUUUGAAAAGAGGGUUAAACAGCAC
Molecule: ribosomal RNA, 352 nt
Filed under: uncultured fungus
Lineage: Eukaryota; Fungi
Description: eukaryotic LSU rRNA
Rfam family: Eukaryotic large subunit ribosomal RNA
Source: RNAcentral